CGGCGGACGGGUGAGUAAUGUCUGGGAAACUGCCCGAUGGAGGGGGAUAACUACUGGAAACGGUAGCUAAUACCGCAUAACGUCGCAGGACCAAAGAGGGGGACCUUAGGGCCUCUUGCCAUCGGAUGUGCCCAGAUGGGAUUAGCUAGUAGGUGGGGUAACGGCUCACCUAGGCGACGAUCCCUAGCUGGUCUGAGAGGAUGACCAGCCACACUGGAACUGAGACACGGUCCAG
This 235-nucleotide ribosomal RNA is filed under the name uncultured bacterium. Its description in RNAcentral is "partial 16S ribosomal RNA". It matches the Rfam family "Bacterial small subunit ribosomal RNA", at positions 96 to 334 of the family's 1533-position model. The record is from RNAcentral.